AGUGAACGCUGGCGGUAGGCCUAACACAUGCAAGUCGAACGGCAGCACAGUAAGAGCUUGCUCUUACGGGUGGCGAGUGGCGGACGGGUGAGGAAUACAUCGGAAUCUACUUUUUCGUGGGGGAUAACGUAGGGAAACUUACGCUAAUACCGCAUACGACCUACGGGUGAAAGCAGGGGAUCUUCGGACCUUGCGCGAUUGAAUGAGCCGAUGUCGGAUUAGCUAGUUGGCGGGGUAAAGGCCCACCAAGGCGACGAUCCGUAGCUGGUCUGAGAGGAUGAUCCGGCCCACUGGAACUGAGACAAGGUCCCGGCUCCUACGGGAGGCAGCAGUUGGGAAUAUUGGACAAUGGGGGGAAGCCUUAUCCAGCCAUACCGGGUUGGUUAAGGAGGCCUUCCGGUUGGAAAACCCUUUUUGUGGGAAAGAAAAGCAGCCAGUUAAUACCCCGCUGUUUUGACGGUACCCAAAGAAUAAGCACCGGCUAACUUCGUG
Molecule: ribosomal RNA, 492 nt
Filed under: uncultured bacterium
Lineage: Bacteria
Description: partial 16S ribosomal RNA
Rfam family: Bacterial small subunit ribosomal RNA
Source: RNAcentral